UUGCAGUAGCAGACGAAAUCUUUUUUUAAAAGGAAUAACAUAAACAUUUGGGGUCCUAGUGAAGACUGUGACAGUGAAGUUGUUCCAGUGUAUUCGUCUCUUUCAUUUAUUCGUCUGGAAACCCUGAAAUUGUCAGGGAUAUGAAAAGUUGUUUUCGUAGGAAGUGUCUUCGACAGAUAACGCUCAGUGUGUCUUGUAAAAAUGUUGCCAUAACAUAGCACAUCCAGUUUACCAGAAAAAUUCGUCGGAAAACCUUCUAAUAAGGAUUUUAAAGAUGUAACGCGAAAGGAAGCAUCAGCCUUCGAUCAACCCAGCAACCCUUUCAUAAUUGACGUCCUGCUGAAUGCAUCAUCCAGUUAAUACAGGUCACUAAUCCCAGCGUGGACAUGUAUUGUUUUUUUCCGAACAUGUUUUACUACAAAUGUUGCAUUGACAGACAAGGAAAGCUAUGGAAAACAUUAUGUAGGACAUGACAUGAGUAAUCUUAGAAGUCACGUGAAAAGAUGCAGGGCAGGGCACUUACCAAAAUGUUCAACACUGCUGCAACUGUCUACAGUCACAGGCAGGAAUAUCGCUCUCUUUCUUCAGACAAUUGCAAAGCUAUUGGAGUAAUUUAGUCUUCAUCCCCACUUGACUCAUUUUGUCUUCUGGGUAGCUUAGGAAACCUGAUUGGUGUUAUCAAGCCAUUUUGAUAAUAACCGAGAGGAUGCAGCCUACAGACUGUGAACAUCAGAUGGGGUUAGACUUCAGCAUCUCUACGAGCCACGACGGAAACGUGCAGUGACAUCCUACAAGUUCUACGCGAAUCAUCUUUUGUUACUGUUGGUAAUAUGUUUUGUUAGUUAAUCCGUUGGCUGCCACGCCUUUGUUUCCCCCAUGUUAGCUCCUUAGCACGGGCCGCACUGUUUGGUCUCUUGGUCUUAUGUGCCUUGGGAUCGAACAGCUGCACCUGCCCAAGAUUCGCCGAAAGGCCCUGUUAGGCAAUGCACCAUAGGGACUUCCCCCCUUGUCGAUACGGUGAUGGAUUCUAG
Daphnia pulex (common water flea) is the source of this 1031-nucleotide long non-coding RNA. RefSeq lists it as uncharacterized. The record is from RefSeq and is a predicted model, not a curated record. NCBI's taxonomy places the organism in Eukaryota, Metazoa, Arthropoda, Branchiopoda, Diplostraca, Daphniidae. The transcript is spliced from 6 exons.